Molecule: ribosomal RNA, 494 nt
Filed under: uncultured bacterium
Lineage: Bacteria
Description: partial 16S ribosomal RNA
Rfam family: Bacterial small subunit ribosomal RNA
Source: RNAcentral
GACGAACGCUGGCGGCGUGCUUAACACAUGCAAGUCGAACGGUGAAGCGCCUUCCUUUUUGGUGGGUGUGGAUGAGUGGCGAACGGGUGAGUAACACGUGAGUAACCUGCCCCCUUCUUCUGGAUAACCGCAUGAAAGUGUGGCUAAUACGGGAUAUUCUGGGUCUGUCGCAUGAUGGGUCUGGGAAAGAUAUUGUUUCGGUGGGGGAUGGGCUCGCGGCCUAUCAGCUUGUUGGUGGGGUGAUGGCCUACCAAGGCGGUGACGGGUAGCCGGCCUGAGAGGGUGGACGGUCACACUGGGACUGAGACACGGCCCAGACUCCUACGGGAGGCAGCAGUGGGGAAUAUUGCACAAUGGGCGCAAGCCUGAUGCAGCGACGUCGCGUGAGGGAUGGAGGCCUUCGGGUUGUGAACCUCCUUCGCCAGUGAAGCAGGCCUGCCUCGUUUGUGGGUGGGUUGACGGUAGCUGGAUAAGAAGCGCCGGCUAACUACGUG